GAAUAUUGCUCAAUGGACGCAAGUCUGAAGCAGCGACGCCGCGUGGGUGAAGAAGGUCUUCGGAUCGUAAAGCCCUUUUCCAGGUGACGAGGAAGGACGGUAACCUGGGAAUAAGUGUCGGCUAACUACGUGCCAGCAGCCGCGGUAAAACGUAGGACGCAAGCGUUAUCCGGAAUUACUGGGCGUAAAGCGCGCGCAGGCGGGUCAGCAAGUCAUGCGUGAAAGCUCCUGGCUAAACUGGGAGAGGUCGGAUGAGACUGCUGGUCUGGAGUGUGUCAGAGGGAUGUGGAAUUCCGCGUGUAGUGGUGAAAUGCGUAGAGAUGCGGAGGAACACCAGUGGCGAAGGCGGCAUCCUGGGGCACAACUGACGCUGAGGCACGAAAGCAUGGGUAGCGAACGGG
This 401-nucleotide ribosomal RNA is filed under the name uncultured bacterium. RNAcentral describes it as "bacterial SSU rRNA". It matches the Rfam family "Bacterial small subunit ribosomal RNA", at positions 359 to 776 of the family's 1533-position model. The record is from RNAcentral.